Molecule: ribosomal RNA, 459 nt
Filed under: uncultured bacterium
Lineage: Bacteria
Description: SSU rRNA
Rfam family: Bacterial small subunit ribosomal RNA
Source: RNAcentral
AGAAUCAACGCUGGCGGCGUGCCUAACACAUGCAAGUCGAACGAGAAAGUGGAGCAAUCCAUGAGUAAAGUGGCGUACGGGUGAGUAACACGUGACUAACCUACCCUCGAGUGGGGAAUAACCUCGGGAAACCGGGGCUAAUACCGCAUAACAUCUUCGGAUCAAAUGCGUAAGCAGCUUGAGGAGGGGGUCGCGGCCGAUUAGCUAGUUGGCGGGGUAAUGGCCCACCAAGGCAAUGAUCGGUAGCCGGCCUGAGAGGGCGCACGGCCACACUGGAACUGAAACACGGUCCAGACUCCUACGGGAGGCAGCAGUGGGAAUUUUGCGCAAUGGGGGAAACCCUGACGCAGCAACGCCGCGUGGAGGAUGAAGCCCCUUGGGGUGUAAACUCCUUUCGAUCGGGACGAUUAUGACGGUACCGGAUGAAGAAGCACCGGCUAACUCUGUGCCAGCAGCCGC